This 313-nucleotide unclassified non-coding RNA is filed under the name Hevea brasiliensis (rubber tree). The record is from RNAcentral. Lineage: Eukaryota; Viridiplantae; Streptophyta; Magnoliopsida; Malpighiales; Euphorbiaceae.
AGGAACUGUCUGCAGAAGUUUAUUGCUGUGAGCGAGGAGAACAGGGCUAUUGCUUUUCCGGGUAAAGAGUUGUCGCUUUCAAAAGUUGAUGUCACAAAUGACAAUGUUGGUUCAGAAGGGGGCAAUUCUCAAACAUCUGGACCAUCAAAGUUGGAUACACCAGUGAAGUAUAGUGCUUCCCCUGCAAAAGCUGCACAGAUAGAGAGGCAAAACUCAUCAGGAAGCGAAGAAUCUGCUUGUUCAAGUGAGGAGGAACAACCAUCAGUGGAAAGAAGUCGUACUCUCAUAAGAUCUGCAUCUCCGAGAAGGUCUG